AGUGAACGCUGGCGGUAGGCCUAACACAUGCAAGUCGAACGGCAGCACAGUAAGAGCUUGCCCUUACGGGUGGCGAGUGGCGGACGGGUGAGGAAUACAUCGGAAUCUACUUUUUCGUGGGGGAUAACGUAGGGAAACUUACGCUAAUACCGCAUACGACCUACGGGUGAAAGCAGGGGAUCUUCGGACCUUGCGCGAUUGAAUGAGACGAUGUCGGAUUAGCUAGUUGGCGGGGUAAAGGCCCACCAAGGCGACGAUCCGUAGCUGGUCUGAGAGGAUGAUCAGCCACACUGGAACUGAGACACGGUCCAGACUCCUACGGGAGGCAGCAGUGGGGAAUAUUGGACAAUGGGCGCAAGCCUGAUCCAGCCAUGCCGCGUGGGUGAAGAAGGCCUUCGGGUUGUAAAGCCCUUUUGUUGGGGAAGAAAAGCAGCAGGUUAAUACCCCGCUGUUCUGACGGUACCCAAAGAAUAAGCACCGGCUAACUUCGUG
This 492-nucleotide ribosomal RNA is filed under the name uncultured bacterium. RNAcentral describes it as "partial 16S ribosomal RNA". It matches the Rfam family "Bacterial small subunit ribosomal RNA", at positions 29 to 507 of the family's 1533-position model. The record is from RNAcentral.